Molecule: ribosomal RNA, 124 nt
Rfam family: Bacterial large subunit ribosomal RNA
AGAUGAGAUUUCCCAACUUCGGUUAUAAGAUCCCUCAAAGAUGAUGAGGUUAAUAGGUUCGAGGUGGAAGCAUGGUGACAUGUGGAGCUGACGAAUACUAAUCGAUCGAAGACUUAAUCAAAUU